AGAUGGGAGCUUGCUCCCUGAUGUUAGCGGCGGACGGGUGAGUAACACGUGGGUAACCUGCCUGUAAGACUGGGAUAACUCCGGGAAACCGGGGCUAAUACCGGAUGGUUGUCUGAACCGCAUGGUUCAGACAUAAAAGGUGGCUUCGGCUACCACUUACAGAUGGACCCGCGGCGCAUUAGCUAGUUGGUGAGGUAACGGCUCACCAAGGCGACGAUGCGUAGCCGACCUGAGAGGGUGAUCGGCCACACUGGGACUGAGACACGGCCCAGACUCCUACGGGAGGCAGCAGUAGGGAAUCUUCCGCAAUGGACGAAAGUCUGACGGAGCAACGCCGCGUGAGUGAUGAAGGUUUUCGGAUCGUAAAGCUCUGUUGUUAGGGAAGAACAAGUGCCGUUCAAAUAGGGCGGCACCUUGACGGUACCUAACCAGAAAGCCACGGCUAACUACGUGCCAGCAGCCGCGGUAAUACGUAGGUGGCAAGCGUUGUCCGGAAUUAUUGGGCGUAAAGGGCUCGCAGGCGGUUUCUUAAGUCUGAUGUGAAAGCCCCCGGCUCAACCGGGGAGGGUCAUUGGAAACUGGGGAACUUGAGUGCAGAAGAGGAGAGUGGAAUUCCACGUGUAGCGGUGAAAUGCGUAGAGAUGUGGAGGAACACCAGUGGCGAAGGCGACUCUCUGGUCUGUAACUGACGCUGAGGAGCGAAAGCGUGGGGAGCGAACAGGAUUAGAUACCCUGGUAGUCCACGCCGUAAACGAUGAGUGCUAAGUGUUAGGGGGUUUCCGCCCCUUAGUGCUGCAGCUAACGCAUUAAGCACUCCGCCUUGGGGAGUACGGUCGCCAGACUGGAACUCAAGGAAAUUGACGGGGGC
This 868-nucleotide ribosomal RNA is filed under the name Bacillus siamensis. RNAcentral's name for it is "bacterial SSU rRNA". It matches the Rfam family "Bacterial small subunit ribosomal RNA", at positions 70 to 920 of the family's 1533-position model. Lineage: Bacteria; Bacillati; Bacillota; Bacilli; Caryophanales; Bacillaceae. The record is from RNAcentral.